UACGUAGGGGGCAAGCGUUGUCCGGAUUUAUUGGGCGUAAAGAGCGUGUAGGCGGCUGGGUAGGUCCGUUGUGAAAACUCGAGGCUCAACCUCGAGACGCCGAUGGAAACCCUCCAGCUAGAGCCCGGAAGAGGAGAGUGGAAUUCCUGGUGUAGCGGUGAAAUGCGCAGAUAUCAGGAAGAACACCCGUGGCUAAGGCGGCUCUCUAGUACGGUACUGACGCUGAGACGCGAAAGCGUGGGGAGCGAACAGG
RNAcentral lists this ribosomal RNA (253 nucleotides) under uncultured bacterium. RNAcentral describes it as "partial 16S ribosomal RNA". It matches the Rfam family "Bacterial small subunit ribosomal RNA", at positions 524 to 776 of the family's 1533-position model. The record is from RNAcentral.